This 1443-nucleotide ribosomal RNA is filed under the name Triticum aestivum (bread wheat). RNAcentral's name for it is "partial small subunit ribosomal RNA". Lineage: Eukaryota; Viridiplantae; Streptophyta; Magnoliopsida; Poales; Poaceae. The record is from RNAcentral.
AUGUGUUCUGAGUUACUCAUCUGUGACGUUUCAACACUUCCGUACAUGAAGGGAUCAUCUGAUGAAGAGUUAUGUAUUGGGUAUGAUGGUGAGUAUGGCUAUGGUUUUGACGAAUCUUCCGAUGAGUUGAAGAUACUGGAUGACAAAAUUUUGCUGUUCCAUAAUCUGAAAAACCUCAAAUCGAUGGUGAUACAUGGUUGCCGGAAUCUAAGUUCCAUUUCAUUAAAAGGUUUUAGUUACCUCGUCUCUUUAACGAGCUUGAAAAUAAGAAAUUGUGAAAAACUUUUUGCUUCAAAUGAGAUGCCAGAGCAUACCCUCGAAGAUGUGACACUUGUGAAUUGCAAGGCUUUCCCAUCUCUCGAAUGUCUCAGUAUUGAUUCAUGUGGUAUAGUGGGGAAGUGGCUAUCUUUGAUGCUGCAACAUGCGCCAUGCCUAGAGGAAUUGUAUUUGUCUUCCCAAGAGGAAGAAAAAUCAGAAGAGGAAGAAAACAGUAUAUCAAAUCUUAGCUCAACCAGGGAGGGCACAUCAUCCGGAAAUCCAGAUGACGGAUUAGCUCUAGACCGACUGUUGUGCAUCCCAUUAAAUCUCAUCUCCAUUCUAAAGAGGAUAACUAUUGAGAGGUGCCCUCAUCUAACAUUUAACUGGGGCAAGGAAGGCGUCUCGGGAUUUACCUCCCUUGAGAAGCUAGUCAUUUUAGACCGCCCUGACCUGCUCUCGUCGUUGGUGCAUACAGACGGAGGAUGGCUACUCCCGAACUCACUUGGCCAACUUGAAAUCGAUGGCCAUUCCCAAGUAACGCUGCAACCCUGCUUUCCUAGCGAUAUCACUAGCCUUAAAAAGUUAGAGGUACAUCGCAGCCCAGGUUUGCAAUCUCUACAGCUGCACUCAUGCACAGCACUGGAAGAAUUGGUAAUUAGAUACUGUGGAUCGCUCACUGCACUGCAUGGUCUGCAAUUCCUUGGCAGCCUCAGGCAUUUGACAGUAUUCAAGUGCCCUGGCUUGCCACCAUUUCUGGAGAGCUUUUCAAGGCAGGGCUAUACGCUGUUACCUCGGCUGGAAAGGCUUUGCAUCGAUGACCCAUCUGUCCUUACCACGUCAUUCUGCAGGCACCUCACCUCCCUGCAACACCUAUAUCUUUUUUUCUUGAAAGUGACGAGACUAACAGAUGAGCAAGAGCAAGCGUGUGUGCUCCUCAAGUCCCUGCAAAAGCUCCAAUUUCAGUAUUGUUCCGAUCUCGUAGAUCUUCCUGCAGGGCUGCACAACCUUCCAUCCCUGAAGAGUUUGAAGGUAGAUGGGUCUAGGGGCAUCUCAAGGCUGCCGGAAACAGGCCUCCCACUCUCACUGAAAGAACUGGAAAUCUGUUGUUGCAGCAGGGAGCUAGCUGAUCAAUGCAGAAUGCUACCACGGGGCAAGCUAAAUGUUAAAAUUGAUUUGUGUUUUUGA